CAAUUUUAUUCACCUUUUGAUGCCGUGUUUCAAUAUCUCUAUACAUUUUGCCUUGAUACUGAGGAUUUUUCAAAUUAACUUUUUUAGAUGAUUUAAAAAAAAUACACAAGGCCUACACAUACUAUGGCCAAUUUGAAUAUAAAUGUUAUAAACGUCUAAUCAAAUUUGACCUGCCUUUAAACUAUGAAAGUGAUUAGCCUACAUUUUAGAUUAGUUGUAUGAAAAAACAUACUGCACCUACAGUAGUAGGAAUUGUACUAGAAAAAGUCAGGUUUGGUCAAUCUUAAGGAAAUCAAAAUGUAAAACACUUUAUUUCUAAUUGAGUAGAUUAAAUCAUUUCUGAAAAGUAUUCAUACUAUAUCAGAGUUAAUUAUUUGAACCACAGUCUAAAGAAAUUAAGCUUGCCAAAUGUCCAGGAUGUUUUUGUACGAGCAGUAAUGGGGAUUGUAUCACUGUGGUACACUUUUGGUAGCAGCACCAGACUUGAUGUUGGAAGUAACAGUGUCCCCACCCUCACUGUCCUGCCCCCCUCUAGUGAGGAGCUGUCCAGUACAGCAACAGCCACACUGAUGUGUCUGGCCAACAAGGGCUUCCCCUCAGACUGGACCAUGAGCUGGAAAGUGGACGGGACCAGUAAGAACCAGGAGACCAGUCCCGGGGUCCUGGAGAAGGACGGCCUGUACAGCUGGAGCAGCACCCUGACUAUCACUGCCCAGGAGUGGACCAAGGCAGGAGAGGUGACCUGUGAAGCCCAGCAGAAAUCCCAGACUCCAGUCACCAAGACCCUGAGGAGGGCUGACUGUUCUGGGUAGGACCCCUCAGUCACACACCCCUGUGGAGAGAGGCUGCUGGUUCCUCUGCUUUCACUCUGUUCUGAGAUCAGAUGUUCUCUGUCUGAUUGAUCACUGACAUGUAGACAAACAGAGGGCUUUGCUUGAGUUCAUGUGUCAAUCAUCUCUGUAGACUGAGGUUGAAUCAGUGUUAUAUUUUAUGUGUUCUGCUUUAUUACUAUUAGAUACUGUAGGAAUGUUUCCUUUGAUGCUUUGAUGAAUAGAUGAAAAUAAAGAUUUCCCUUUGGAACACA
Salmo salar (Atlantic salmon) is the source of this 1084-nucleotide non-coding RNA. The record is from the annotation of a RefSeq genome assembly. Lineage: Eukaryota; Metazoa; Chordata; Actinopteri; Salmoniformes; Salmonidae.